CCUUCUCUCCAUCCCGUGGCCGGCGCAGGCAUGUUGGACGCAGACACAAGAGAAAGCCGUCUCUGAGGCUGCUCCCAUAUUUGUAGCGUGUGUUUAAAAUUUUCUCCCCAUCACCUACCCGGACAUUCCUGCUCUGUCUUUACUCUCUCCUCUCCUUUGUUUAGUGUCACGUCCCGAAGCUCAACUGGAUAGAUUCUACAAUGGCAUCAGAGGCUCAAACGAAGGAGAAAGAGGGUCCCGUUGACCCUCUGCUCCGCUUCCAAUGGCAUCGGAGGCUCAAAGGAAGGAGAAAGAGGGUCCCGUUGACCCUCUGACAGCACCUUUCCAAUGGGGAACAAUCCUGUCUGCAGUAAAAGAUCAGAUCCCCACAUUGGACUCUGACACAUCCGUGUCUGAUGGUGAUGAAGAGGAGGAGGACGAGCUUUUCAUUUUCCAGCGAGAUGAAUCCAACCUCAUUCCUGACUUGACAGAAGAACUGAAAGACUGUCCUCCAGAAGAAUCAGACUUGCAGAAGACAUUUGCAUUCAUGAGACACUCGAGAGAGAUCUGGAAUGAAGAUCAAGAAGGUCCAGAUAACAAGGCCCCUUCUGUGUUUGUAGGCCAAGAUGGCUUUGAUCUUCCGACUGCAGAAAGGUCAAGCCAGCGAGCUAUAUCUCCCAUAAAUGGGAAGAAGCCUGGAGGAGGGAUAUUGGCAGUUCCUGCAGGAGAACAGGAUGUUUUGAAAGACAACAAUAGUCUUUUAUCCCCAGAUAUGUCACCCUCUGUGGAAAUGUCACCUUUUUCAGUACUAAACAUGAGUGUGGAAGAAAGACGGCAACUGAUAGAAACAAGAAUCCUCUCCAAGGCAACUGUGGGACCUCCUCCAGAAGGCUCAGGUCAUCCCAAACCCAAAAACCGUAACAACAAUGCCGAAAGGAGAACGGAGAGAGGAAGUGAACUGGGAACUAUCCCAGCAGAACACCCCCAAGAGUUGAUGCUCGUAGCCUUCAAGGAUAUUGAAAGAUGGGAUUUGGAUAAGGUCCUACAGGAUCUGGAGAAGCAGAGUGGUGAUACGCAUUGGGAUUUAGAAGUGGCUUUUCCUUCAAUCAACCAUGAAACCUGGAGGGCUGUGUCACACGCAAGUCUUAUGAAAAAGCUGGAAGAGUUCUCCCUUCAACAAUCCAGGGCAUUUUUGUCGCAGCAGAAGAGAUGUCUUGCUAAGCUCCCUGAAUUUAGCCAGUGCCAAGGGGACGGGAAGGGUGUUCCCAUCCUGACGCCCCUGGGAAACCACCGAAGCCUGACUCCGAUAGAACUGCAAUGGGCUUCAGAGCCACCCACUGUCUAUAUGGACCUCAGAGAGACAACUUCUCAAAAGCCUGAGUCGGCCUGGAAUGACAAGCAAAGCUCAAGUGACAGCUCCUCGGAUGAUGAGGAAGAUACAGAAGUGAAAGACCCAGAGAAAAUGGAAAGAAAAACGAAGGCAUUAUCCCGGCCCUCACGGGAUUGCACUGGGAAAAGCUUCCUGCUGCAGCAGCUUCGUCACUUCGGCAGAAGAAUGCCCCAGUCUUCAGCUGUUGAAGAAAGGGACGAAAACCUCACAAGUCCAGAAAGACCUGACCUUUCAAGAGACAGAAGCAGCCGCGGCCUAAUACAAAGAGGUCUGGCUUCAGUGGGUCCAACUGACUCAGAAUUAAAUGGAAAGAGCUUCCCGCUGGGGUGUCCUAACGGUGUAGCUAAGCCCCCAAGAGAGGUCAAGAGAGAUGCUGAGGAAGAGCCAUGCCCCAAAUUCCCUCCAGAGACUUCUGCAGACGGAGGAGGAGAAUACCCAAGGGCAGAAGAAAGCCAGAAAGAAAAGCAGGAAGAGGAGAUGCUCAAGAAACAGUAGCUGCAGGAAUGGCUGGAGAAACUAAAGCCUCAGAUACUCCAUUACUGCGAUGCAGCCCAUGGCUGAACAACCCCCCACCACCACAUCUUGUUCCAUGUGGUCCCCAGCACAGGAUAGCAGAACAACAUCUUGUCUUGUUCUUCCAAUUUCUGUCUCAUCUGUUAAAGCAAGAAAGAAAAGCCAACAACAUAUUUCAGGUCUUUCCAACCUGACAAGAGCUACAGUAGGAGUUUCUUCCUCUCCUUUUGCAGCCUUUUAUGAUGCUCAAAAUGUCUAAAAAGUUUUCCAUCCUUUCUGGACUGGGAGAGGGUUGGUUGUUGAUGCACCAGAGGCUCCAGGAGAAAGGUGGAUAUGGGGUUUCACUGACUCUGGCGAAGUAGCAGAUCCCAUAGAAGUAACUAUUCUAUCCUGGCCAAAUAUGCAUUUUGUGCACAUGACUUCUAAUAAAUGCAUUUGAAGAGUUCCCUUAAGAUGAUGC
Pogona vitticeps (central bearded dragon) is the source of this 2342-nucleotide long non-coding RNA. Ensembl annotates it as chromosome unknown C16orf71 homolog. The record is from Ensembl. Lineage: Eukaryota; Metazoa; Chordata; Lepidosauria; Squamata; Agamidae.